Molecule: long non-coding RNA, 433 nt
Organism: Oreochromis aureus
Lineage: Eukaryota; Metazoa; Chordata; Actinopteri; Cichliformes; Cichlidae
Source: Ensembl
GAAGGCGGUGCCUUAGUGCCUCCCUCCUUCUGACAUUGUAAAAGAACCCUAACUGUAUUUUUUUUUUUAAUAGUAAUAUAGAUGUAUAUGUGUGUUUUAUGUCCUCAGAUGAGGUUUGAAGUGUCUGUGUGGUGCAGCUGGCCUGGUCUGUCUCUAUACAGUCGAGGCUGCACCCACCUAUAAAAAGGUGGAGGCUCACCAAGACAUGCACACCUCACAAGUUCCUGGCUCUCUCGGCUCGGUUGAAGACGGGUUUCUUCGAGAAGGGGAGGGCAGUGAGGCACAGUCCCCCGCCCCCCGACGCCCCUCGCGAUGCCCCUCCUUCUUCGACUAACCCGCUGCAGAGGAGCCGUGGGAGCCAGGAACUUGUGAGUUUUGUAUGUCCACUCAGGCAUCAUUCAUACCUGGUCUGUAGGAAGUUCCUGUCAGAAGG